RNAcentral lists this ribosomal RNA (615 nucleotides) under Staphylococcus aureus. RNAcentral describes it as "partial 23S ribosomal RNA". It matches the Rfam family "Bacterial large subunit ribosomal RNA", at positions 566 to 1182 of the family's 2925-position model. Lineage: Bacteria; Bacillati; Bacillota; Bacilli; Caryophanales; Staphylococcaceae. The record is from RNAcentral.
ACAAGUAGUCAGAGCCCGUUAAUGGGUGAUGGCGUGCCUUUUGUAGAAUGAACCGGCGAGUUACGAUUUGAUGCAAGGUUAAGCAGUAAAUGUGGAGCCGUAGCGAAAGCGAGUCUGAAUAGGGCGUUUAGUAUUUGGUCGUAGACCCGAAACCAGGUGAUCUACCCUUGGUCAGGUUGAAGUUCAGGUAACACUGAAUGGAGGACCGAACCGACUUACGUUGAAAAGUGAGCGGAUGAACUGAGGGUAGCGGAGAAAUUCCAAUCGAACCUGGAGAUAGCUGGUUCUCUCCGAAAUAGCUUUAGGGCUAGCCUCAAGUGAUGAUUAUUGGAGGUAGAGCACUGUUUGGACGAGGGGCCCCUCUCGGGUUACCGAAUUCAGACAAACUCCGAAUGCCAAUUAAUUUAACUUGGGAGUCAGAACAUGGGUGAUAAGGUCCGUGUUCGAAAGGGAAACAGCCCAGACCACCAGCUAAGGUCCCAAAAUAUAUGUUAAGUGGAAAAGGAUGUGGCGUUGCCCAGACAACUAGGAUGUUGGCUUAGAAGCAGCCAUCAUUUAAAGAGUGCGUAAUAGCUCACUAGUCGAGUGACACUGCGCCGAAAAUGUACCGGGGCU